UGCAAGUCGAGCGGGCACUUUCGGGUGUCAGCGGCGGACGGGUGAGUAACGCGUGGGAACGUGCCCUCUGGUUCGGAAUAACUCAGGGAAACUUGAGCUAAUACCGGAUACGCCCUUUUGGGGAAAGGCUUGCUGCCGGAGGAUCGGCCCGCGUCUGAUUAGCUAGUUGGUGAGGUAACGGCUCACCAAGGCGACGAUCAGUAGCUGGUCUGAGAGGAUGAUCAGCCACACUGGGACUGAGACACGGCCCAGACUCCUACGGGAGGCAGCAGUGGGGAAUAUUGGACAAUGGGCGCAAGCCUGAUCCAGCCAUGCCGCGUGAGUGAUGAAGGCCUUAGGGUUGUAAAGCUCUUUUAUCCGGGACGAUAAUGACGGUACCGGAGGAAUAAGCCCCGGCUAACUUCGUGCCAGCAGCCGCGGUAAUACGAAGGGGGCUAGCGUUGCUCGGAAUCACUGGGCGUAAAGGGCGCGUAGGCGGCGUUUUAAGUCGGGGGUGAAAGCCUGUGGCUCAACCACAGAAUGGCCUUCGAUACUGGGACGCUUGAGUAUGGUAGAGGUUGGUGGAACUGCGAGUGUAGAGGUGAAAUUCGUAGAUAUUCGCAAGAACACCGGUGGCGAAGGCGGCCAACU
RNAcentral lists this ribosomal RNA (630 nucleotides) under uncultured bacterium. RNAcentral describes it as "bacterial SSU rRNA". It matches the Rfam family "Bacterial small subunit ribosomal RNA", at positions 56 to 730 of the family's 1533-position model. The record is from RNAcentral.